GAUGAACGCUGGCGGCGUGCUUAACACAUGCAAGUCGAACGGAAAGGCCCAAGCUUGCUUGGGUACUCGAGUGGCGAACGGGUGAGUAACACGUGGGUGAUCUGCCCCGCACUUCGGGAUAAGCCUGGGAAACUGGGUCUAAUACCGGAUAGGACAGUGGUUUGGAUGCCAUUGUGGAAAGUUUUUUCGGUGUGGGAUGAGCUCGCGGCCUAUCAGCUUGUUGGUGGGGUAAUGGCCUACCAAGGCGUCGACGGGUAGCCGGCCUGAGAGGGUGUACGGCCACAUUGGGACUGAGAUACGGCCCAGACUCCUACGGGAGGCAGCAGGGGGGAAUAUUGCACAAUGGGCGCAAGCCUGAUGCAGCGACGCCGCGUGGGGGAUGACGGCCUUCGGGUUGUAAACUCCUUUCGCUAGGGACGAAGCGUUAUGUGACGGUACCUAGAGAAGAAGCACCGGCUAACUACGUG
Molecule: ribosomal RNA, 467 nt
Filed under: uncultured bacterium
Lineage: Bacteria
Description: partial 16S ribosomal RNA
Rfam family: Bacterial small subunit ribosomal RNA
Source: RNAcentral